GAGUAAUGGGUGAAUAAUAAAUGGAUUAAAGAGGAACUCUAAACAAUUAGUGUUAAUGAACUCCUACUCAGGGAAAUGCAAAAAUAAGAAUGAGAAUAGUACUUAAUAUCUUCCAAUAGAAUUUGAAAGUUUGGACAAUAUGUUAGAGAAAAUUUGAUGGGGGCUUGUCCAGUAGGAUAACUGUGUAGCGGGUGAAAGUGUAAAUUGGUACAACCACUUUGGAAGAAUAUCCGGCUGUAUCUAGGGAUGCUAAAAAUGUAUGUAUACACUGAAUCAGAAACUUCUUAAGGUAAGCCCAAAGUGACAGGUACAGUGACGUUCAUAUAACACUGUUAUGAUGAAAAACAGAAACAACUUAAAUAAUAAUAUGGUUAUAUUCAAAGAAUUGAUAUAACUAGAAAUUAAAAAUAGGACCUGGAUAUACAUACAUAUAUUAUUUGGAAAAAUUCCCUAAGCAUAAUGUCGAGUGACAGAGCAAUGUAUUUAUAAUUUGUUUCUGUAUUUAUGUAAAUAUAGCAUGAACAAAAUGAAUAAUUCUCUAUCAGUUAUGAACACCUCUGACAAGUGAUUAUUGAAGAAUCAUUGAAUGAUUAAAGAAAGCAUGGCCUUGAAGAAUGCACAGCAUGUUUAAGAAGAGAUGUGUACAAAAUAGGAGAACAUAAGGGACCAAUAAAUUAAAAACCCCUACACAGAAUGUGAAAUAAAAAGCACUUUUUUUGCCUGCUGGACUGAUUGAGAAGAACAGGGUUAGAUUGUGUUCUUUGCCUAUUUUGUAAAACUUUGUUUUGAUUUCUUCAUCUGUAAAAUGAGAACUAAUAGUAGUACCGACUUAAUAGGAUUGUUUUGAAGAAUAUAUAAAAUAAUCCACGUAGAGUGCUCAUCUCUGCCUGGCAAGUAUGCUGAAGUAUGUCCUUGCUUGAGUGAAGACUGAACUCAUUACAUGUCAUCUACUACAGCUGUGACUUAAAUGAAACAGAUCAGUUAUAGGAUACUUGAUUCAUAAAGAAUAUUUUCCUUUUUAGAGACUCUUUUUAGAUAACAAAUGUUUCUAGGAUAUUAUAAUAAACUUGUUUUUUGUUUUGUUUUUUGUCUUUUUAGAGCCACACCCGAGGCAUAUGGAGGUUUCCAGGCUAGGGUUCCAAUCAGAGCUGUAGCAACUGGCCUGUACCACAGCCACAGCAAUGCCAGAUCUGAGCCACAUCUGCAACCUAUACUACAGCUCACAGCAACGCUGGAUCCUUAACCCACUGAGCAAGGCCAGGGAUUGAACGUAUUUCCUCAUGGAUUCUAGUCAGAUUCGUUUCCACUGAGCCACAACGGGAACUACUAAAUUUGGCAAUUUUAUGAUUCCCAGAGACUUGUGUCUUACAUAAAGUAAGCUGGUCAUACUUUUUGUAAAUGUUGAUUAGAUUGUAGUUUUUAAUUUAGAAAGGAAAAAUAUGUGAAAUAAGGAAAAAUUAAAACAUUGUGUCAUGUGAUUUUUUUUUUCUGUGUUUUGAUUAGAAGGUUGACUGUGUGGUUGAAUGAUGUCCUUUAUUAAAUCUGCUCAUUGUUAAGGUUAAAUAAAUACAGGCUUGAGUAAGAAUGAAAAAAAAAAAAA
Molecule: long non-coding RNA, 1600 nt
Filed under: Sus scrofa (pig)
Lineage: Eukaryota; Metazoa; Chordata; Mammalia; Artiodactyla; Suidae
Description: lncRNA (ENSSSCG00025006166.1)
Source: RNAcentral